GAACUGCCAUCAAAACUUUUCGGCUAGAGUUUGAUAGAGGAAAGCAGAAUUUCUAGUGUAGAGGUGAAAUUCGUAGAUAUUAGAAAGAAUACCAAUUGCGAAGGCAGCUUUCUGGAUCAUCACUGACACUGAGGAACGAAAGCAUGGGUAGCGAAGAGGAUUAGAUACCCUCGUAGUCCAUGCCGUAAACGAUGUGUGUUAGACGUUGGAAAUUUAUUUUCAGUGUCGCAGCGAAAGCGAUAAACACACCGCCUGGGGAGUACGACCGCAAGGUUAAAACUCAAAUGAAUUGACGGGGACCCGCACAAGUAGUGGAGCAUGUGGUUUAAUUCGAAGAUACGCGCAGAACCUUACCAACACUUGACAUGUUCGUCGCAACUUUAAGAGAUUAAAGUUUUCGGUUCGGCCGGACGAAACACAGGUGCUGCAUGGCUGUCGUCAGCUCGUGUCGUGAGAUGUUGGGUUAAGUCCCGCAACGAGCGCAACCCUCACUUUUAGUUGCCAUCAUUAAGUUGGGCACUCUGAAAGAACUGCCAGUGAUAAGCUGGAGGAAGGUGGGGAUGACGUCAAGUCCUCAUGGCCCUUACGUGUUGGGCUACACACGUGCUACAAUGGUAUUUACAAAAGGAAGCAAGACGGCGACGUUAAGCAAAUCCUUAAAAAAUACCUCAGUUCGGAUUGCACUCUGCAACUCGAGUGCAUGAAGCUGGAAUUACUAGUAAUCGUGGAUCAGCGUGCCACGGUGAAUGCGUUCCCGGGUCUUGUACACACCGCCCGUCACACCAUGGGAGUUGGUUCUACCUUAAGGCAAGGUUUAAAACCCUUGACCACGGUAUAGUCAGCGACUGGGGUGAAGUCGUAACAAGGUAACC
RNAcentral lists this ribosomal RNA (872 nucleotides) under uncultured bacterium. RNAcentral's name for it is "bacterial SSU rRNA". It matches the Rfam family "Bacterial small subunit ribosomal RNA", at positions 618 to 1501 of the family's 1533-position model. The record is from RNAcentral.